UAGCGCGGUGGUCCCACCUGACCCCAUGCCGAACUCAGAAGUGAAACGCCGUAGCGCCGAUGGUAGUGUGGGGUCUCCCCAUGCGAGAGUAGGG
RNAcentral lists this ribosomal RNA (94 nucleotides) under Escherichia coli. RNAcentral also lists the same sequence under 7 other names. The record is from RNAcentral. Lineage: Bacteria; Pseudomonadati; Pseudomonadota; Gammaproteobacteria; Enterobacterales; Enterobacteriaceae.